RNAcentral lists this ribosomal RNA (524 nucleotides) under uncultured bacterium. RNAcentral's name for it is "partial 16S ribosomal RNA". It matches the Rfam family "Bacterial small subunit ribosomal RNA", at positions 355 to 871 of the family's 1533-position model. The record is from RNAcentral.
UGGGGAAUUUUGGACAAUGGGCGAAAGCCUGAUCCAGCAAUGCCGCGUGUGUGAAGAAGGCCUUCGGGUUGUAAAGCACUUUUGUCCGGAAAGAAAUCCUUGGCUCUAAUACAGUCGGGGGAUGACGGUACCGGAAGAAUAAGCACCGGCUAACUACGUGCCAGCAGCCGCGGUAAUACGUAGGGUGCAAGCGUUAAUCGGAAUUACUGGGCGUAAAGCGUGCGCAGGCGGUUUGCUAAGACCGAUGUGAAAUCCCCGGGCUCAACCUGGGAACUGCAUUGGUGACUGGCAGGCUAGAGUAUGGCAGAGGGGGGUAGAAUUCCACGUGUAGCAGUGAAAUGCGUAGAGAUGUGGAGGAAUACCGAUGGCGAAGGCAGCCCCCUGGGCCAAUACUGACGCUCAUGCACGAAAGCGUGGGGAGCAAACAGGAUUAAAUACCCUGGUAGUCCACGCCCUAAACGAUGUCAACUAGUUGUUGGGGAUUCAUUUUCCUUAGUAACGUAGCUAACGCGUGAAGUUGACCG